This 274-nucleotide ribosomal RNA is filed under the name uncultured bacterium. RNAcentral's name for it is "partial 16S ribosomal RNA". It matches the Rfam family "Bacterial small subunit ribosomal RNA", at positions 523 to 796 of the family's 1533-position model. The record is from RNAcentral.
AUACGGAGGGUGCAAGCGUUAAUCGGAAUUACUGGGCGUAAAGCGUACGUAGGCGGUUAAGUCAGUCAGAUGUGAAAGCCCUGGGCUCAACCUGGGAACUGCAUUUGAUACUGCUUGGCUAGAAUAGGGUAGAGGGAAGUGGAAUUCCGGGUGUAGCGGUGAAAUGCGUAGAUAUCCGGAGGAACACCAGUGGCGAAGGCGGCUUCCUGGACCAAUAUUGACGCUGAGGUACGAAAGCGUGGGUAGCAAACAGGAUUAGAAACCCCGGUAGUCC